GUGGGGCACCCAUCCACCCCCAUGGCAAAGCAGCCCCCACGCUUCAGAGAAGUGUUCCCGUGCUGGCUGCAAAAACCAGAUUUCCUGCCCCCCACAACCCCCACCCCUACUCCUCGCCCCGGGAGGACUUCUGAACCUGGCAUUUGUGGCAUGCGUGAAAGGACAGCCGCCACUCGGCAUCACUAGAAAACGUCUGCUCCCGGGUCUACUGGCGACUGGCACCACCGCACACCGACCCCGGGGAGAGGAGGCGCAAGAUGGGGAGAGGAAAACGCCCCGCGCACAUUUCCCAAACUCUGUGCGUCGGCCCAGGGAGGCCAGUGUGCCUGGAGAGGGGAGAAGGGCCCGCGGUGUCAGGGUGUCCGCAGUUCGGACGGAGGGGAGCAGCUGCUCCACUUUCGCCCUGCGCUGAGCCCCUUGGCCGCAACUCCCCGGAGUGGUCGUCCGGCUGGCGACCCGCCACCUACAGAGCGCUGCGCCGCGCCACGCCCCACGCGGCUCUGGGCUAGGGGCCGUGGACGGGAAGCCAGACCUCGUCCCGGCUCCGGGAGCUGGGGCACACCGGGUAGGUUUUCGACGUCUAAGCCCAGGCGGCGCCCCUCCACCGGUGCGGCGCGCCGGGAUCUCUCUUCUACCUAGCGGGUACUUGUGGCCGGGGACUGGAUGCGGGUAAAGGAAAGGCCUGGGAAGAGAAGUAGCGGAAGCCUUAUGAAGAGGUCCGGAUUCGAGUGGCUGGGUGCAACAAGUAGCUUGCACAGCGGGUAAGAAGCUCCGGGGCGAGCUGCUUCCUGCCAGCGGCGGAGCGACAAGCGCAGGCAGGCAGUCAGCGACAGGAACUGAGAACGCUAAAGAGAGACUAACCGGUUCCUUUGGUAAGGAGAUAAAAGGGGGCCGCGGAUGUCCAAAAGGGUCGUGCUCCAGGUGAGGCUCGAACUCACAACCUCGGCAUUGCUCUGCAUGUACUGCUGUAUAAGUACCGCGCGCUAACCGAUUGCGCCACUGGAGCUCCGCUUAGCCGGCCUCGCGAUGGCUCUAUCAGGGUUCACCCAGGCCCGGUGCGGGCUUCGGAGGAGCAUGCGCACUGGCGGUUCCGGGCUCUGCGGGACUGGAUCCCGGCCCCGCGUCGCCUGCCUCUGCCCCGCGACCCCCGGAAGACUGAGCGGGGCGUCCUGCGAGGGUCUCGCCCGGGGAUGAAGGGCCGGUUGGCAGGGCCGUGAUGGGCUGGUCGCUGGGGCGUUGAGAAGAGCGCAGCCCGCCUCCCCAAGCAGCGCGGGAGGAGGAGCCUCGGCCGCCGCGUUCGGCGUCCUUCGGGAGUUUCGUCUGGGGAGCCGGAAGCGCGAGGAGUCGGGCGGGCGGCGGACGGCAGGUGGGCCUCGGCAAUGUCACACUCUACUUUGGGCCAAAUUGUAACUGUCCGGUGCCCCAGGCACUUUUGUCUUCGUGGACCCCCUCCUCCAUUAAAAAAAAGAAGAAGAAGAAGAAGAAAAGAAAAUUAAUGGUAUUUUAUUCCUGCAAAAUAAAGAUAUAAUCCAGGCUGGAUUUAUUGGGACAACAUGA
Molecule: long non-coding RNA, 1557 nt
Organism: Mustela lutreola (European mink)
Lineage: Eukaryota; Metazoa; Chordata; Mammalia; Carnivora; Mustelidae
Exons: 2
Source: RefSeq, a predicted model, not a curated record